GCCAGCAUAGCUCAGCGGUAGAGCAAUGCUUUCGUAAAGCAUAGGUCGCCGGUUCGAAUCCGGCUGCUGGCUCCA
RNAcentral lists this transfer RNA (75 nucleotides) under Planctomycetaceae bacterium. Its description in RNAcentral is "tRNA-Thr". It matches the Rfam family "tRNA". Rfam says of the family: Transfer RNA (tRNA) molecules are approximately 80 nucleotides in length. Their secondary structure includes four short double-helical elements and three loops (D, anti-codon, and T loops). The record is from RNAcentral. Lineage: Bacteria; Pseudomonadati; Planctomycetota; Planctomycetia; Planctomycetales; Planctomycetaceae. RNAcentral also lists the same sequence under 1 other name.